CCUUUUGAGAGAGGUCGAAAAGGAAUUUUAACUAUCGGAACAUGCCCUCAACUUUUGGUUGCUCGUUUCUCUUCUACGAUUCUUGCACACCUCUGGCGACUGUUGAGUGGGGCUGACAUUAUAAAUGCUCUGUAGAUAGCAUACAAAAGCCCUUAAAUUCACCAUUUUUGUCUUUGCUUUAUCAAAAACUGGCGAAAUUAUGCAGCCACGUUAUGGCGCAAAUCUCCACCGGAACCAACCCUCCAAAUUGACCCUACUUUGUUCAAAAAGAUCUUUCAUAGAUACAGAGCACUACUCUCAUUCCAUUAGCAGACAUAAAAGUUGGAGGAAGAAGAAGAAGAAGAGGGAGGAGAGAUGCACGCUUUGUGGAUGUCCUUGAAGGAGAAUGCCAGCUGUGGGAGCAAGCUAACCAAUGCGGUUGCCCAGCCAGAAAAAAGCCAUGGGAAGAGGAGCAGCAGUCCUGAAAAGGAACACUUGGACAGAAAGCUCAUUCAUCAUACCAGAAAAUCAUUUGGGGAUGUGAUUAUCAAGGGAUACCACAUACGAACAAGGUACUUUGGUAAGUGUCCAGUCCUUCUAUGUUGCAAAUUGCAUGUAUGUUUGUUGGUUACUAUGCUAUUUGGAAAGUUCUUGCAGAAGGAAAAAGAAAAUGAGAUGCAUGCAGAGUCCCCUUAUAAGCAUGUAAGUUGUAAAAGUUGUCUUGACAUUCAUAGCUAACUUCUUCAUGCUGCAUGAAGCAUGAGGCUUAGCAUCUAAUAUUAAGCAGGUAUUUAGGAGGUUCUGCAUAAAAUUAUUGAGCCUCAUAAAAGUGGGGAAUCGAGCAUCCUCAUAGAAAUGGCAAUGCUUCUAGUCUGUUACCAGGCUUUGAAUUCAUCUCUUGCGUUGUGAGGUAAACACUUGACCAUCAGGCCACUCAUAAUCAACAGAGAUUAGGAAAUUUAAUCGAAGGGUGUCUAUAAUACAGUGUUUAAGCAUGAGAAUUAAGUGAAAUAGGAAAUUUGGCUAGAGUAAUGUCCUUCCUGGUAUCACAUCACAACCCAAUUACCAAAAACUGGAAUCCCAUUGAAAGGUCAGCUUGCAAACAAAACGAGAGGGGCAUACCAUAUGAUUAAAGGAGUCCCCACUAAUUGAAGGGACAUAGGGACUUAUUUGUACGCUUGCAGCUUAAGGUUAAGAAUGGUCCCUUUUAUGCGUGAUGGUUUGUGAACUUCAUUGCAAUAUUGACAAAGAAGGAAAAAAUAUAUGAAAUGCAAAUAUAGGACAAGAAUUUAUACAAGGUAAGUAUUUUGAUGCAUGCGCAAGCUGGUACAUAUUUGAUUCUUCCUGGAGCUUCUAUACAGAAAGUCUCAUACAUGAAAAUGGAAUUCUUGUUUCUGACUAUGCAUCAAUUCUUUGCAUUUUGAACAGAGCUCAAAAUGGGAGACCCAGCAAGAAAUAUCACUGAGAUGAUCUUCCAUAGAGCAUCAGCAAGCCCAUCAAAGCCGUCAAGGAAGAUCCGAAGGGUCUUUAGGGUGAAGAACUCAAUUGAAAUUCUUGAAAGGUUUGAGAAAUAUAGAGAGAAGGUAAAGGAGACUGCCUAUAAGCAACAAAAGACACAUCCAAGAAGCACUGUAGAUGGAAACGAGCUUUUGCGAUUCUAUGGCACGACAAUGUCCUGUUGCAGUGAAAAAUCAAUCCAAGUUUCAGAGCUGUGUAAAGAUCCCACUUGCAGAGUCUGCAGAAUGAUUCAAUGUAAUUUUGACACAGAGUACACCAGGAAGAACGGGAUUCGAUUAAGUACAAAUAGUGAGGAGCUGAGUGAAAACAUGAUUAACUUGUCAAAGUUGAAAAUGGAAAGGGCAGCAAUAGUAUGCAGGAUAAUUGCUGGAACAGUUGUUAAUAAGGUUAAUAAUCGGGUAAAAGAAGAGUGUGAAUCGAUAGAGAGUGAAACACAGUAUGCCAAGUCAGAAUCUUUGAUUGUAAGAAAUCCCAGUGCUGUACUUCCCUGCUUUGUCAUAGUUUUCACCUGAGAUUUUCUGAUAUCUGUAAACUUGUUCUUUUUGCAGUUAAAUCAAAAUUGGGGCCGGGAAACCAUUUUUGCGUAUGCAAACAUUGUGAAAUUCCUACACUAGCUAAGCUGAAA
RNAcentral lists this unclassified non-coding RNA (2122 nucleotides) under Hevea brasiliensis (rubber tree). Lineage: Eukaryota; Viridiplantae; Streptophyta; Magnoliopsida; Malpighiales; Euphorbiaceae. The record is from RNAcentral.